This 253-nucleotide ribosomal RNA is filed under the name uncultured bacterium. RNAcentral's name for it is "partial 16S ribosomal RNA". It matches the Rfam family "Bacterial small subunit ribosomal RNA", at positions 524 to 776 of the family's 1533-position model. The record is from RNAcentral.
UACAGAGGUCUCAAGCGUUGUUCGGAUUCAUUGGGCGUAAAGGGUGCGUAGGUGGCGCGGUAAGUCGGGUGUGAAAUCUCGGAGCUUAACUCCGAAAUUGCAUUCGAUACUGCCGUGCUCGAGGACUGGAGAGGAGACUGGAACUCAUGGUGUAGCAGUGAAAUGCGUAGAGAUCAUGAGGAAGACCAGUGGCGAAGGCGGGUCUCUGGGCCGUAACUGACGCUGAGGAGCGAAAGCGUGGGGAGCGAACAGG